RNAcentral lists this ribosomal RNA (253 nucleotides) under uncultured bacterium. RNAcentral's name for it is "partial 16S ribosomal RNA". It matches the Rfam family "Bacterial small subunit ribosomal RNA", at positions 524 to 776 of the family's 1533-position model. The record is from RNAcentral.
GACAGAGGGUGCAAACGUUGUUCGGAAUUACUGGGCGUAGAGCGUGUGUAGGCGGCUAGGUAAGUCGGAUGUGAAAGCCCCGGGCUCAACUCGGGAAGUGCACUCGAUACUGCUUAGCUCGAGUACCGGAGAGGUUGGUGGAAUUCUCGGUGUAGAGGUGAAAUUCGUAGAUAUCGAGAGGAACACCGGUGGCGAAGGCGGCCAACUGGACGAGUACUGACGCUGAGACACGAAAGCGUGGGGAGCAAACAGG